Molecule: ribosomal RNA, 492 nt
Filed under: uncultured bacterium
Lineage: Bacteria
Description: partial 16S ribosomal RNA
Rfam family: Bacterial small subunit ribosomal RNA
Source: RNAcentral
AGUGAACGCUGGCGGUAGGCCUAACACAUGCAAGUCGAACGGCAGCACAGUAAGAGCUUGCUCUUACGGGUGGCGAGUGGCGGACGGGUGAGGAAUACAUCGGAAUCUACUUUUUCGUGGGGGAUAACGUAGGGAAACUUACGCUAAUACCGCAUACGACCUACGGGUGAAAGCAGGGGAUCUUCGUACCUUGCGCGAUUGAAUGAGCCGAUGUCGGAUUAGCUAGUUGGCGGGGUAAAGGCCCACCAAGGCGACGAUCCGUAGCUGGUCUGAGAGGAUGAUCAGCCACACUGGAACUGAGACACGGUCCAGACUCCUACGGGAGGCAGCAGUGGGGAAUAUUGGACAAUGGGCGCAAGCCUGAUCCAGCCAUACCGCGUGGGUGAAGAAGGCCUUCGGGUUGUAAAACCCUUUUGUUGGGAAAGAAAAGCAGCAGGUUAAUACCCCGCUGUUCUGACGGUACCCAAAGAAUAAGCACCGGCUAACUUCGUG